GGUUAAGCGACUAAGCGUACACGGUGGAUGCCCUGGCAGUCAGAGGCGAUGAAGGACGUGCUAAUCUGCGAAAAGCGUCGGUAAGGUGAUAUGAACCGUUAUAACCGGCGAUGUCCGAAUGGGGAAACCCAGUGCAAUUCGUUGCACUAUCGUUAACUGAAUACAUAGGUUAACGAGGCGAACCGGGGGAACUGAAACAUCUAAGUACCCCGAGGAAAAGAAAUCAACCGAGAUUCCCCCAGUAGCGGCGAGCGAACGGGGAGCAGCCCAGAGUCUGAAUCAGCUUGUGUGUUAGUGGAACGGUCUGGAAAGUCCGACGGUACAGGGUGAUAGUCCCGUACACCAAAAUGCACAGGCUGUGAACUCGAAGAGUAGGGCGGGACACGUGGUAUCCUGUCUGAAUAUGGGGGGACCAUCCUCCAAGGCUAAAUACUCCUGACUGACCGAUAGUGAACCAGUACCGUGAGGGAAAGGCGAAAAGAACCCCGGCGAGGGGAGUGAAAAAGAACCUGAAACCGUGUACGUACAAGCAGUGGGAGCACCUUCGGGUGUGACUGCGUACCUUUUGUAUAAUGGGUCAGCGACUUAUAUUCUGUAGCAAGGUUAACCGUAUAGGGGAGCCGCAGGGAAACCGAGUCUUAACUGGGCGUUAAGUUGCAGGGUAUAGACCCGAAACCCGGUGAUCUAGCCAUGGGCAGGUUGAAGGUUGGGUAACACUAACUGGAGGACCGAACCGACUAAUGUUGAAAAAUUAGCGGAUGACUUGUGGCUGGGGGUGAAAGGCCAAUCAAACCGGGAGAUAGCUGGUUCUCCCCGAAAGCUAUUUAGGUAGCGCCUCGUGAAUUCAUCUUCGGGGGUAGAGCACUGUUUCGGCUAGGGGGUCAUCCCGACUUACCAACCCGAUGCAAACUACGAAUACCGAAGAAUGUUAUCACGGGAGACACACGGCGGGUGCUAACGUCCGUCGUGAAGAGGGAAACAACCCAGACCGCCAGCUAAGGUCCCAAAGUCAUGGUUAAGUGGGAAACGAUGUGGGAAGGCACAGACAGCCAGGAUGUUGGCUUAGAAGCAGCCAUCAUUUAAAGAAAGCGUAAUAGCUCACUGGUCGAGUCGGCCUGCGCGGAAGAUGUAACGGGGCUAAACCAUGCACCGAAGCUGCGGCAGCGACACUAUGUGUUGUUGGGUAGGGGAGCGUUCUGUAAGCCUGCGAAGGUGACCUGUGAGGGUUGCUGGAGGUAUCAGAAGUGCGAAUGCUGACAUAAGUAACGAUAAAGCGGGUGAAAAGCCCGCUCGCCGGAAGACCAAGGGUUCCUGUCCAACGUUAAUCGGGGCAGGGUGAGUCGACCCCUAAGGCGAGGCCGAAAGGCGUAGUCGAUGGGAAACAGGUUAAUAUUCCUGUACUUGGUGUUACUGCGAAGGGGGGACGGAGAAGGCUAUGUUAGCCGGGCGACGGUUGUCCCGGUUUAAGCAUGUAGGCUGGUUGUCCAGGCAAAUCCGGAUAAUCAAGGCUGAGGUGUGAUGACGAGGCACUACGGUGCUGAAGUAACAAAUGCCCUGCUUCCAGGAAAAGCCUCUAAGCAUCAGGUAACAUCAAAUCGUACCCCAAACCGACACAGGUGGUCAGGUAGAGAAUACCAAGGCGCUUGAGAGAACUCGGGUGAAGGAACUAGGCAAAAUGGUGCCGUAACUUCGGGAGAAGGCACGCUGGUGUGUAGGUGAAGCCCCGCGGGUGGAGCUGAGACCAGUCGAAGAUACCAGCUGGCUGCAACUGUUUAUUAAAAACACAGCACUGUGCAAACACGAAAGUGGACGUAUACGGUGUGACGCCUGCCCGGUGCCGGAAGGUUAAUUGAUGGGGUUAUCCGUAAGGAGAAGCUCUUGAUCGAAGCCCCGGUAAACGGCGGCCGUAACUAUAACGGUCCUAAGGUAGCGAAAUUCCUUGUCGGGUAAGUUCCGACCUGCACGAAUGGCGUAAUGAUGGCCAGGCUGUCUCCACCCGAGACUCAGUGAAAUUGAACUCGCUGUGAAGAUGCAGUGUACCCGCGGCAAGACGGAAAGACCCCGUGAACCUUUACUAUAGCUUGACACUGAACAUUGAGCCUUGAUGUGUAGGAUAGGUGGGAGGCUUUGAAGCGUGGACGCCAGUCUGCGUGGAGCCAACCUUGAAAUACCACCCUUUAAUGUUUGAUGUUCUAACGUUGGCCCCUGACCGGGGUUGCGGACAGUGUCUGGUGGGUAGUUUGACUGGGGCGGUCUCCUCCCAAAGCGUAACGGAGGAGCACGAAGGUUAGCUAAUCCUGGUCGGACAUCAGGAGGUUAGUGCAAUGGCAUAAGCUAGCUUGACUGCGAGCGUGACGGCGCGAGCAGGUGCGAAAGCAGGUCAUAGUGAUCCGGUGGUUCUGAAUGGAAGGGCCAUCGCUCAACGGAUAAAAGGUACUCCGGGGAUAACAGGCUGAUACCGCCCAAGAGUUCAUAUCGACGGCGGUGUUUGGCACCUCGAUGUCGGCUCAUCACAUCCUGGGGCUGAAGUAGGUCCCAAGGGUAUGGCUGUUCGCCAUUUAAAGUGGUACGCGAGCUGGGUUUAGAACGUCGUGAGACAGUUCGGUCCCUAUCUGCCGUGGGCGCUGGAGAAUUGAGGGGGGCUGCUCCUAGUACGAGAGGACCGGAGUGGACGCAUCACUGGUGUUCGGGUUGUCAUGCCAAUGGCACUGCCCGGUAGCUAAAUGCGGAAGAGAUAAGUGCUGAAAGCAUCUAAGCACGAAACUUGCCCCGAGAUGAGUUCUCCCUGAGACUAUAAGUCUCCUGAAGGAACGUUAAAGACGAUGACGUUGAUAGGCCGGGUGUGUAAGCGCAGCGAUGCGUUGAGCUAACCGGUACUAAUGAACCGUGAGGCUUAACCUU
This 2901-nucleotide ribosomal RNA is filed under the name Klebsiella pneumoniae. RNAcentral's name for it is "23S ribosomal RNA". It matches the Rfam family "Bacterial large subunit ribosomal RNA". Lineage: Bacteria; Pseudomonadati; Pseudomonadota; Gammaproteobacteria; Enterobacterales; Enterobacteriaceae. The record is from RNAcentral.